CUACGGAGGGUGCGAGCGUUAUCCGGAUUUAUUAGGUUUAAAGGGUGUGUAGGCGGGAGCCCAAGUCAGUGGUGAAAUCUCACAGCUUAACUGUGAAACUGCCAUUGAAACUGGGUUUCUUGAGUAUAGUUGAGGUAGGCGGAAUGUGUAAUGUAGCGGUGAAAUGCAUAGAUAUUACACAGAACACCGAUUGCGAAGGCAGCUUACUAAGCUAUUACUGACGCUGAUGCACGAAAGCGUGGGUAGCGAACAGGAUUAGAAACCCCAGUAGUCC
RNAcentral lists this ribosomal RNA (274 nucleotides) under uncultured bacterium. Its description in RNAcentral is "partial 16S ribosomal RNA". It matches the Rfam family "Bacterial small subunit ribosomal RNA", at positions 523 to 796 of the family's 1533-position model. The record is from RNAcentral.